This is a regulatory RNA element of Marinobacter similis, 66 nucleotides long. It matches the Rfam family "L31-Gammaproteobacteria ribosomal protein leader". NCBI's taxonomy places the organism in Bacteria, Pseudomonadati, Pseudomonadota, Gammaproteobacteria, Pseudomonadales, Marinobacteraceae. The record is from Rfam.
UAUGCGGUGCCUGGCGCCCGGGCUCACAGAGUCCCGCGAUCGGGUAGCGGCAUAACCUAACGAGGU